GUUGAACGCUGGCGGCAUGCCUUACACAUGCAAGUCGAACGGCAGCACGGGUGCUUGCACCUGGUGGCGAGUGGCGAACGGGUGAGUAAUACAUCGGAACGUACCUUAUCGUUGGGGAUGACGCAGCGAAAGUUGCGCUAAUACCGCAUACGCCCUGAGGGGGAAAGCGGGGGACCGUAAGGCCUCGCGCGAUUAGAGCGGCCGAUGUCUGAUUAGCUUGUUGGUGAGGUAAAAGCUCACCAAGGCGAUGAUCAGUAGCUGGUCUGAGAGGACGAUCAGCCACACUGGGACUGAGACACGGCCCAGACUCCUACGGGAGGCAGCAGUGGGGAAUUUUGGACAAUGGGGGCAACCCUGAUCCAGCAAUGCCGCGUGAGUGAAGAAGGCCUUCGGGUUGUAAAGCUCUUUUGUCAGGGAAGAAACAGCAGCUCUAACACAGUCUGCGAAUGACGGUACCUGAAGAAUAAGCACCGGCUAACUACGUGCCAGCCGCCGCGGUAA
Molecule: ribosomal RNA, 501 nt
Filed under: uncultured bacterium
Lineage: Bacteria
Description: partial 16S ribosomal RNA
Rfam family: Bacterial small subunit ribosomal RNA
Source: RNAcentral